AAGUCGUAACAAGGUCUCCGUUGGUGAACCAGCGGAGGGAUCAUUACCGAGUCUAAACAACUCAUCAACCCUGUGAACAUACCUAAAACGUUGCUUCGGCGGGAACAGACGGCCCCGUAACACGGGCCGCCCCCGCCAGAGGACCCCUAACUCUGUUUAUAUUAUGUUUUUUCUGAGUAAACAAGCAAAUAAAUUAAAACUUUCAACAACGGAUCUCUUGGCUCUGGCAUCGAUGAAGAACGCAGCGAAAUGCGAUAAGUAAUGUGAAUUGCAGAAUUCAGUGAAUCAUCGAAUCUUUGAACGCACAUUGCGCCCGCCAGUAUUCUGGCGGGCAUGCCUGUUCGAGCGUCAUUACAACCCUCAGGCCCCCGGGCCUGGCGUUGGGGGAUCGGCGGAAAGCCCCCUGUGGGCGUACGCCGUCCCCUAAAUACAGUGGCGGUCCCGCCGCAGCUUCCAUUGCGUAGUAGCUAACACCUCGCGACUGGAGAGCGGCGCGGCCAAGCCGUAAAACCCCCAACUUCUGAAUGUUGACCUCGAAUCAGGUAGGAAUACCCGCUGAACUUAA
Molecule: ribosomal RNA, 565 nt
Filed under: uncultured fungus
Lineage: Eukaryota; Fungi
Description: eukaryotic LSU rRNA
Rfam family: 5.8S ribosomal RNA (bases 198-351)
Source: RNAcentral